AGCAGCCGCGGUAAUUCCAGCUCCAAUAGCGUAUAUUAAAGUUGUUGCAGUUAAAAAGCUCGUAGUUGAAUUUCGGGAUUGACGUGAUGGUCAUGCCUUAAGGGGUAUGAACUGUUACUGUUGAUUUCUCACCUUCUGGAGAAACUUGAUGUCCUUUAUUGGGUGUCUUGCGGAUCCAGGACCUUUACCUUGAAAAAAUUUAGAGUGUUUAAAGCAGGCAUUUUUGCUCGAAUACAUUAGCAUGGAAUAAUAGAAUAGGACGGCAUGGUUCUAUUUUGUUGGUUUCUAGGAUCACCGUAAUGAUUAAUAGGGAUAGUUGGGGGGCAUUAGUAUUCAAUUGUCAGAGGUGAAAUUCUUGGAUUUAUUGAAGGCUAACUACUGCGAAAGCAUUUGCCAAGGAUGUUUUCAUUAAUCAAGAACGAAAGUUAGGGGGAUCGAAGACGAUCAGAUACCGUCGUAGUCUUAACCAUAAACUAUGCCGACUAGGAAUCAGACGAUGUUAAUUUUUUUAAUGACUCGU
Molecule: unclassified non-coding RNA, 520 nt
Filed under: uncultured Glomus
Lineage: Eukaryota; Fungi; Glomeromycota; Glomeromycetes; Glomerales; Glomeraceae
Description: SSU rRNA
Rfam family: Eukaryotic small subunit ribosomal RNA
Source: RNAcentral